Molecule: RNA transcript, 2664 nt
Organism: Papaver somniferum (opium poppy)
Lineage: Eukaryota; Viridiplantae; Streptophyta; Magnoliopsida; Ranunculales; Papaveraceae
Exons: 5
Source: RefSeq, a predicted model, not a curated record
CAAAAACACAACCUUUCUUUCUUCUUCGACAUUGUUCUUCUUCCUGAACUUUCUCUGUCAAUCAAAGCAGAAACUUCAUCUUCUUCGAUGAUGAUAAUUUGGACUUCAAAUUUCUACUCGAAUCCAUGCAAUUCAUGAUGAAGAUGAUGAUUUGAUUGAAUCAAUUUUCGAUUUCAAAGAUGGUAAUGUGACUAAUGUCGAUCUCCACAAAUUUUUUAACGCUGGUAAUGCAAAUGCUGUUCGGAAUCAAUCCAAUUGAUGGUUUUUCAUCUCCUUCGAUUAGAUGUUCGUGAGUUUUAGUUUUCAUCAUGCAAUAACAAGAGCCAUCUAACAAUUUGGAUUUCAUGAUGCUACCUCGCAUAAACUUUAUACCUAUUCCUACUUUUUUAUUUAGGUUUGUACUCUGCGCCCAACUCCUGCAUAUAGUCGUAACUGAAUAGUCACGAUUCCUUAUCGUCUUCCUUUGACAAAAGUGUGGGUAGCAUUGUCUCUAUAUCCUCCAACGACAUUUGAGUAGCAUCCCACUUUGCUUGCUGCGUCCGUUUUUAUCGUCACAUAAAAUGAAAUAGGCCAAGGUCAUUGCAGCCUUUCAUAUGUUUAUGAAUGCGAAAGAAGAUUCUUAAGAUUGUUAUGCAAUGAUCUGCGCAAGAGAUUGGUAUACCUUGAAAACAGAGGUGACUUUUUCGCACCAUGAGGUGUUUUUUUCCGACUGUGACUGUACCUUUUUACUUCUUUGCUUUUGAUUUUAUAUCAGUUGCCCUAACUGGAGCUUACAGUAUGUUGUUAGUUUCAUUCUUUGUGAUGAAGUCUUCCUUUAAUCAGGUAUUUAAAACAUUUCACCUGUAGCUUUGACAUCUGCAGUUGGAAAAUUUUCACUUUUUAAACCAUUUGUUGGUAUAAAGAACCAUUACUACGCAUAGAUUUUGGGAUGUGUAUUUUUGCUGUAAGGUGUUGUUAUAAAGAACCAUUAUUAUGCAUAUGUUUUGGAAUGUGUAUUUUUGAUGUAAGGUAAAUUAGGGUAUAUAGAGUUUCGAAUUUGUAUAUAUGGUAUUUGGUUAAUUACUGUGUAUGGUUUUCUUGAUUUGUAAGUUUGUAGGAUUAAUCGGGAAAAGUAUUAGCAAGGAAUGAGUUCUUUAGAUCUUUGUGGCCUGCGAAUUUCUCAAAGAAAAAGUUUACAGCUAAAGGCCGUCACUCAUCAGCUGCCUUGAUCAAGGCAGCUGGGAUUCAACUACGCCUUGAGUGUCGUCGCUGGAUUGAGUACCAUAAAUGUUUAUCCAGAUGUCUUAAUCUAUCGGACAGUAUUGUUGAAAUAUUAAAUACUGAAUGAGAAAGAAAAAAUUCUUUGUUUUACUGAUGUGUUGGGAUCAAAUUUUUUGCAAUAUCAUAGGUUCAGUGUGACAGGUGCCGAAAGAUUUAGUGUUUGCCGACGUGCAAAGCACGUGCACUCUACUUGUUUAUGUAAAAGUCUUAUGAUAUUAAUGAGGUUGAUGUUUUUUCACACAGAUCAUCGGCAAAAAGGUACCUGGUACGUGUUGCAGUUCAAGAUGCAUCCAGAUCUCCUAUGUUUGUUGCAGGCAUUCAGGACGAAAACAUGCUUGGAUUAUCAGCAGUUGAGCAGUCCUACUGGUCACUACUAUCAUUGAACUAUGAAAGCAACAGAGAGACAUUUGUAUCAAGUUAAAUAUUCUGCAUGACACUUAAAUUGUCACUAUUGUCACUCAUUGUUCCUGCGACGUUGCUCGGAACAACAUACGUAUUAUGCAUCAUAAUUUACUAUUCCAGAAAAUCCAAUGAAAAUCAGCUUCGUAGUUCUUUUGAAUUGAUUCAUCAUAUCUUCUAUCCUAGACUCAUACUCCAGGUACAUGGAUAAUUUAGAAAAAAGACAUAACCUUUGGUCAUGGAUCCAGGUAUGCGGUUGGUGCUGGAACGCAAGACAAGGCAGCAGCUGCCGAUUAUAGUAAAUCAUACUCCCUCCGUCCUAGUUUACUUGUCAAAAUUGAGUUUUUUUUUAACAAAAGUGUACCAAAAAAUUACUAUAUUUCCCACUAAAAUUAUCUAAUUAUCAAGAAAGAAAUAUAAACUAUGAUACAAAAACUUGUAUAUUAAACAAGUGAUUUGAAAGAUUGAUGGUGGAUGUCGAAGUAAUUUGAAUGUGUUUCAGGUUUUUGCAAAAUUCUAUUUUGACAAGCAAACUAAGACGGAUGGGAUAGGGAAUAGAUGUUAAAUGAGAGGCUGUAUGGAAAGCCAACUAAAUUCAUUACACAAUUGAGAUUUUAAACAACUAUGUGAUGUAACUAAUUAUUUAAUUAUACUGCUCCAGGCCAGAGGUAGUACAGAAGACUAAUAUACUUUAACAUGAAGUAAGGGGAAACUGUGGCGAUUAAGGAUUGGCUAUGCUUCCUAGGUAUAUAAGUCGUGGGAAAUCCCUAUCCAUUUCCCUUUUUUUUCUUUUUUUUUUUUGAUGGAAAAAGAAAUAUAUUAACGAAGCAAUAAAGAGUAUAAGAUUUACAAUAUCUUUUUUCUCAAAAAUAUUGGAUAUCACGCUUGAUUGAGAUAUCCUUAGAUGUAUUUGGGUUGAGGAAUUCCGCAUAUUCUUUGCCCGCGCUUCCUUAGCCACCUUGUUUGCAGCCGAGUUAUAUCUUCUGUUAAUAUAUAGCACCUGAG